RNAcentral lists this ribosomal RNA (253 nucleotides) under uncultured bacterium. RNAcentral describes it as "partial 16S ribosomal RNA". It matches the Rfam family "Bacterial small subunit ribosomal RNA", at positions 524 to 776 of the family's 1533-position model. The record is from RNAcentral.
UACGUAGGGUGCAAGCGUUGUCCGGAAUUAUUGGGCGUAAAGAGCUCGUAGGCGGUCUGUCGCGUCUGCUGUGAAAACUCAGGGCUUAACCCUGAGCUUGCAGUGGGUACGGGCAGACUAGAGUGCGGUAGGGGAGACUGGAAUUCCUGGUGUAGCGGUGAAAUGCGUAGAUAUCCGGAGGAACACCGGUGGCGAAGGCGGCUUCCUGGACCGAUACUGACGCUGAGGCGCGAAAGCUAGGGGAGCAAACGGG